UACGUAGGUGGCGAGCGUUAUUCGGAAUCACUGGGCAUAAAGCGCGUGUAGGCGGCCGCGCAAGUCGGGUGUGAAAUCCCACGGCUCAACCGUGGAACUGCGCCCGAUACUGCAUGGCUCGAGGCUGGUAGGGGAGAGUGGAAUUCCUGGUGGAGCGGUGAAAUGCGUUGAUAUCAGGAGGAACGCCGGCGGCGAAAGCGGCUCUCUGGUCCAGUUCUGACGCUGAGACGCGAAAGCCAGGGGAGCAAACGGGAUUAGAAACCCUGUAGU
This 270-nucleotide ribosomal RNA is filed under the name uncultured bacterium. RNAcentral describes it as "partial 16S ribosomal RNA". It matches the Rfam family "Bacterial small subunit ribosomal RNA", at positions 524 to 794 of the family's 1533-position model. The record is from RNAcentral.